CGGCUCAGUUAAGCAG
Molecule: microRNA, 16 nt
Filed under: Macrophomina phaseolina MS6
Lineage: Eukaryota; Fungi; Ascomycota; Dothideomycetes; Botryosphaeriales; Botryosphaeriaceae
Description: miR-24
Source: RNAcentral